CCUACGGGUGGCAGCAGUCGAGAAUCAUUCACAAUGGGGGAAACCCUGAUGGUGCGACGCCGCGUGGGGGAAUGAAGGUCUUCGGAUUGUAAACCCCUGUCAUGUGGGAGCAAAUUAAAAAGAUAGUACCACAAGAGGAAGAGACGGCUAACUCUGUGCCAGCAGCCGCGGUAAUACAGAGGUCUCAAGCGUUGUUCGGAAUCACUGGGCGUAAAGCGUGCGUAGGCUGUUUCGUAAGUCGUGUGUGAAAGGCGCGGGCUCAACCCGCGGACGGCACAUGAGACUGCGAGACUAGAGUAAGGGAGGGGGAACCGGAAGUCUCGGUGUAGCAGUGAAAUGCGUAGAUAUCGAGAGGAACACUCGUGGCGAAGGCGGGUUCCUGGACAUUAACUGACGCUGAGGCACGAAGGCCAGGGGAGCGAAAGGGAUUAGAUACCCUGGUAGUC
This 446-nucleotide ribosomal RNA is filed under the name uncultured bacterium. RNAcentral's name for it is "partial 16S ribosomal RNA". It matches the Rfam family "Bacterial small subunit ribosomal RNA", at positions 338 to 795 of the family's 1533-position model. The record is from RNAcentral.